This is a long non-coding RNA of Stegastes partitus (bicolor damselfish), 466 nucleotides long. RefSeq lists it as uncharacterized. The record is from RefSeq and is a predicted model, not a curated record. The transcript is spliced from 2 exons. NCBI's taxonomy places the organism in Eukaryota, Metazoa, Chordata, Actinopteri, Pomacentridae.
UGGUAGCUGCGGCUCAUCAGCCGUGCCCUGCUUAAAUACUGGCGUCUCACAGAAGACCGACGCCAGAGGAUUGUGAUACCUGCCUCGUGUUCUCCUCCUCGGCUUCAGCACUUGGCACACCUCCAGGCACUCCAGCGUUUGGCACCCACGGGAAUUCACGACCACGGACACCUUCACCUCGAGACCCUUCACGAGAGCACCCACCCCCACGAGCACUGAACCCUGAGCACCGGACCCCUGCGCACCACCCUGGUUUCCCUCGUCACGGCUCCCUCUCUGCACCAGGAAAACCCCCACGGACCAAGGCACUCACAGGCACCGGCUUUUCGUGCACCACCCUCGGGACCUCCCUUCCUUGGAUCACGGCACCGAAGACUCCACUUCUCCCUCUCCACGACUGACAUCCCUGCACCAGAUCCCACCACCGGUUUUCCCCCCUCCAGUUAAAUAAAACCUUUUCACUAAA